UCGAGAAUUUUUCACAAUGGGGGAAACCCUGAUGGAGCGACGCCGCGUGGAGGAUGACGGUUUUCGGAUUGUAAACUCCUGUCAUUAGAGAACAAUGCACGGGCAUUAACUGUGCUUGUGUUGAUAGUAUCUGAAGAGGAAGAGACGGCUAACUCUGUGCCAGCAGCCGCGGUAAUACAGAGGUCUCAAGCGUUGUUCGGAUUCAUUGGGCGUAAAGGGUGCGUAGGUGGCGAUGCAAGUCAGGUGUGAAAUCUCCAAGCUCAACUUGGAAACUGCACUUGAUACUGCAUUGCUUGAGGAUUGUAGAGGGCAUUGGAAUUCACGGUGUAGCAGUGAAAUGCGUAGAUAUCGUGGGGAAGACCAGUGGCGAAGGCGAAUGCCUGGGCAAUUCCUGACACUGAGGCACGAAGGCCAGGGGAGCAAACGG
Molecule: ribosomal RNA, 427 nt
Filed under: uncultured organism
Description: bacterial SSU rRNA
Rfam family: Bacterial small subunit ribosomal RNA
Source: RNAcentral